UUGGUUAAGCUACUAAGAGCACACGGAGGAUGCCUAGGCGCUAGGAGCCGAAGAAGGACGUGGCGAACAACGAUACUGCCUCGGGGAGCUGUAAGCAAGCUUCGAUCCGGGGAUGUCCGAAUGGGGAAACCCAGCUAGUGUAAUAGCUAGUUACCCGUAUCUGAAUACAUAGGAUACGAGGAGGCAUACCCAGGGAACUGAAACAUCUAAGUACCUGGAGGAAGAGAAAACAAGAGUGAUUCCGUCAGUAGCGGCGAGCGAACGCGGAACAGCCUAAACCAGAGAGCUUGCUCUCUGGGGUUGUGGGACGUCUCACAUGGAGUUACAAAGGAACAUAUUAGGCGAAGAGGUCUGGAAAGGCCCGCUAUAAGAGGUAAAAGCCCUGUAGCCGAAAGUAUAUUCCCUCCGAGACGGAUCCCGAGUAGUGCGGGGCACGUGAAACCCCGUAUGAAUCCAGCAGGACCAUCUGCUAAGGCUAAAUACUCCCUAGCGACCGAUAGUGAAACAGUACCGUGAGGGAAAGGUGAAAAGCACCCCGGAAGGGGAGUGAAAUAGAUCCUGAAACCGUGUGCUUACAAGAAGUCAGAGCCC
Molecule: ribosomal RNA, 591 nt
Filed under: Paenibacillus lautus
Lineage: Bacteria; Bacillati; Bacillota; Bacilli; Caryophanales; Paenibacillaceae
Also listed under: 1 other name
Description: bacterial LSU rRNA
Rfam family: Bacterial large subunit ribosomal RNA
Source: RNAcentral